UACGUAGGCAGCAAGCGUUGUUCGGAAUUACUGGGCGUAAAGGGUGCGUAGGCGGCUUUUUAAGUUUGGUGUGAAAUCUCCCGGCUCAACUGGGAGGGUGCGCCGAAUACUGAGAUGCUGGAGUGCCGGAGAGGUAAGCGGAAUUCCUGGGUGUAGCGGUGAAAUGCGUAGGUAUCAGGAGGAACACCUGCGGUGUAGACGGCUUACUGGACGGUAACUGACGCUGAGGCACGAAAGCGUGGGUAGCAAACAGG
This 254-nucleotide ribosomal RNA is filed under the name uncultured bacterium. Its description in RNAcentral is "partial 16S ribosomal RNA". It matches the Rfam family "Bacterial small subunit ribosomal RNA", at positions 524 to 776 of the family's 1533-position model. The record is from RNAcentral.